GCCAUGCAUGUCUCAGUACAAGCCAAAUUAAGGUGAAACCGCGAAAGGCUCAUUAAAUCAGUUAUGGUUCCUUAGAUCGUACACACAUUUACUUGGAUAACUGUGGUAAUUCUAGAGCUAAUACAUGCAAACUGAGUUCCAACCGGAGACGGAAGGAACGCUUUUAUUAGAUCAAAACCAAUCGGUGGCGGUUUCGGCUGUCAUCGUACAAUUUGGUGAUUCUGAAUAACUUUCAGCUGAUCGCACGGUCUUGCACCGGCGACGCAUCUUUCAAAUGUCUGCCUUAUCAACUGUCGAUGGUAGGUUCUGCGCCUACCAUGGUUGUAACGGGUAACGGGGAAUCAGGGUUCGAUUCCGGAGAGGGAGCCUGAGAAACGGCUACCACAUCCAAGGAAGGCAGCAGGCGCGCAAAUUACCCACUCCCGGCACGGGGAGGUAGUGACGAAAAAUAACGAUACGGGACUCAUCCGAGGCCCCGUAAUCGGAAUGAGUACACUCUAAACCCUUUAACGAGGAUCAAUUGGAGGGCAAGUCUGGUGCCAGCAGCCGCGGUAAUUCCAGCUCCAAUAGCGUAUAUUAAAGUUGUUGCGGUUAAAAAGCUCGUAGUCGAAUCUGUGUCCAACGCCGCCGGUUCAUCGUUCGCGGUGUUAACUGGCGUGUCGUGGGACGUCCUGCCGGUGGGCUUUGCUCGAAAGGGCGGCCCAAUUCAAUCCUGCCGCGGUGCUCUUCAUUGAGUGUCGAGGUGGGCCGGCACGUUUACUUUGAACAAAUUAGAGUGCUUAAAGCAGGCUAAAAUUUUGCCUGAAUACUGUGUGCAUGGAAUAAUGGAAUAGGACCUCGGUUCUAUUUUGUUGGUUUUAGGAACCCCGAGGUAAUGAUUAAUAGGAACGGAUGGGGGCAUUCGUAUUGCGACGUUAGAGGUGAAAUUCUUGGAUCGUCGCAAGACGGACAGAAGCGAAAGCAUUUGCCAAAAACGCUUUCAUUGAUCAAGAACGAAAGUUAGAGGUUCGAAGGCGAUCAGAUACCGCCCUAGUUCUAACCAUAAACGAUGCCAGCUAGCGAUCCGCCGACGUUCUUCCGAUGACUCGGCGGGCAGCUUCCGGGAAACCAAAGCUUUUGGGUUCCGGGGGAAGUAUGGUUGCAAAGCUGAAACUUAAAGGAAUUGACGGAAGGGCACCACCAGGAGUGGAGCCUGCGGCUUAAUUUGACUCAACACGGGAAACCUCACCAGGCCCGGACACCGGAAGGAUUGACAGAUUGAGAGCUCUUUCUUGAUUCGGUGGGUGGUGGUGCAUGGCCGUUCUUAGUUGGUGGAGCGAUUUGUCUGGUUAAUUCCGAUAACGAACGAGACUCUAGCCUGCUAAAUAGGCGUAUUUCGACAUCUUAAAGGUCAGCCGGACCCAUUGGGUUUCAUCACUCAAUGACCGUGCGUGGUUUUUACUGUCGGCGUACAAACAAUUCUUCUUAGAGGGACAGGCGGCUUCUAGCCGCACGAGAUUGAGCAAUAACAGGUCUGUGAUGCCCUUAGAUGUUCUGGGCCGCACGCGCGCUACACUGAAGGAAUCAGCGUGUCCUCCCUGACCGAGCGGUCCGGGUAACCCGCUGAACCUCCUUCGUGCUAGGGAUUGGGGCUUGCAAUUGUUCCCCAUGAACGAGGAAUUCCCAGUAAGCGUGAGUCAUAAGCUCGCGUUGAUUACGUCCCUGCCCUUUGUACACACCGCCCGUCGCUACUACCGAUUGAAUGAUUUAGUGAGGUCUUCGGACUGGUACGCGGUGGCGUUUCGACGUUGCCGAUG
RNAcentral lists this ribosomal RNA (1796 nucleotides) under Goniadera sp. KKanda KK0342. RNAcentral's name for it is "SSU rRNA". It matches the Rfam family "Eukaryotic small subunit ribosomal RNA". The record is from RNAcentral. Lineage: Eukaryota; Metazoa; Arthropoda; Insecta; Coleoptera; Tenebrionidae.